Molecule: ribosomal RNA, 253 nt
Filed under: uncultured bacterium
Lineage: Bacteria
Description: partial 16S ribosomal RNA
Rfam family: Bacterial small subunit ribosomal RNA
Source: RNAcentral
UACGGAGGGGGCUAGCGUUGUUCGGAAUUACUGGGCGUAAAGCGCACGUAGGCGGCUUUGUAAGUUAGAGGUGAAAGCCCAGGGUUCAACCCUGGAAUUGCCUUUAAGACUGCAUCGCUAGAAUUGUGGAGAGGUAAGUGGAAUUCCGAGUGUAGAGGUGAAAUUCGUAGAUAUUCGGAAGAACACCAGUGGCGAAGGCGACUUACUGGACACAUAUUGACGCUGAGGUGCGAAAGCGUGGGGAGCAAACAGG